This is a non-coding RNA of Camellia sinensis, 1222 nucleotides long. The record is from RefSeq and is a predicted model, not a curated record. Lineage: Eukaryota; Viridiplantae; Streptophyta; Magnoliopsida; Ericales; Theaceae.
CUAAGCUACUCAAUUGGGAACCAUGGAUUCAGCUACUCAAUCUAGGAGUAGACUUGCAUAUGCUAGGAUUUGUGUCGAAAUCCAAGCUUUGUACGAUAUCCCAAAAACUUUUAAAUCUUGAUUUGGGUUAUGGCGAACCCUAUAAAAUUAGGGUAGAGACUCCUUGGACACACCCAACAAGUAUGUCCCUCUUCUCUCAUUGUUACAACUACCAUAAAGCAAGAAUGGAGGAAAAAAGAGGUCAUGAGUAAAGCCCCACUGAAUGAUUGGGUUGAGGUUCCAACGAAGGGAGUUAUCGAUGAGAACAAUGGUGCAAGUGUGAAUGAGGAUGCAAAGGAACAUCCCAAAGAUCUAUCUAAAAGGUGUGAAGCUCCUCAGAGUACGAACAUGUUUAAUGUUCUUGAUUCUUGUCUCGCCUCAAGUUAAAGUGACAACAAGGUUGAUAAUCCCCCGACUUCUCAGGUAGAGAACAGUAAAAAGUUGAAAGAGAAACUUCAGAUCUUGAAGUCAGCUUGUGGGAUAUAGUUGUCUCAUCUCAUUCUAUAAGUUCCAAGCGUGGACAAGGUGGGAGCGGAUAGUAACCUAGCCUCUUAUGUGAGAAUCGAAUCUGUUUCUCCAAAUCUCUUUCUCUCAGAGGAUCGAUUCUUCUCAGUCUCUUCCUCAGCAAUUCUUCUUCGAAUCUUCUUUAGUUCGGUGAUUCAUCUCGGGAUUGCGAUUUCGAAGUUUGAUUUUGAGCACAGCUCCGUGAUUUAUAUCUUCGAUCAGAGGUCGGUGAUUCAUCUCAGGAUUGUGAUUUCGAAGUUUGAUUUUGAGCACAGCUCCAUGAUUCAUCUCCGUGGAUUUGGAACUCUUCAUCUUCUUCGAUCAGAGGCAUUCAAUUGUAACAAUGAAGGCUGCCAAGGGUAAGGGGGCAGCAAUCAGGGUCCCAAAGGAGGCAUUGAAGCCAGUUGACGACAGAAAGGUCGGGAAGAGAAAGGCUGCCACUAAGGCAAAUAACGGUGGCAAAAGUCAAGCCAAGAAUUGAACUCCUUUUAUAACUAUAGGUCAAACAAUAAUAAUUUCCAUAACUAUCAUCAGCUAUUUAUUUAUCAGAUAUACCAUCUUGAUGGAAACUUUUAGCUUCAGAGUUUUUUCUUCACAUAUUUUUAGUGUUUUAUUUUAUUUUAUUUAUUUUACCUUAACUUUGUAACACACAUGCUGUUACAACUAUUCGGAAAAACAU